GCAUUCAUCAGCAGGAGAAUAUACUUGAGAUUUGGUUGGAUCCACAUCCACAGGAGAUUUCGACAUUCAGCAGCUACAGGGGACAAGGGACAAGAAGCUGGCAAGAACUGACUUACCUUCUCCUUCAGCUUAUUGACCUGCUCCUCCAGCAGCAGAGUCUGCCAUGUAAAGAUCAAAUGUAAAGCUGCUCUUUUCAAGUUUGACUUCCAAACUGUGCAGUUCUUCAAUGGAGCAUUCUUCCAACCUCUCACCCAAAAGUUUCCUGCAUCUCAACGAAAAUUAGUUCGUGGGUUGCUACAUAGGGAUAUCAGUAUUUGAUAGCAUCGGUAUUUGAUAGCUAAAUAAUUACCUUUUGUAAGCAUCAAGUGCUUCAAGUUUCUUUGCCAGGCCUUCCGCAUCAGCUUUUACUUGCUGCAAUAUAAGUCCGGACCAGACAAUCUUAGUAUCA
Sorghum bicolor (sorghum) is the source of this 448-nucleotide long non-coding RNA. RefSeq lists it as uncharacterized. The record is from RefSeq and is a predicted model, not a curated record. The transcript has 3 exons. Lineage: Eukaryota; Viridiplantae; Streptophyta; Magnoliopsida; Poales; Poaceae.